This 324-nucleotide long non-coding RNA is filed under the name Chinchilla lanigera (long-tailed chinchilla). RNAcentral describes it as "lncRNA (ENSCLAG00000027047.1)". The record is from RNAcentral. Lineage: Eukaryota; Metazoa; Chordata; Mammalia; Rodentia; Chinchillidae.
UUCAGGUCAUUGAUGAGUCAGAUCUAAAGACAUGAAUCUCUCGUCAACUUUGUUCUCUGUUUCCCUGUGUCUGGAAGGUCCCACCACAAUAGCAAGAAGCCAUACAACUGGGAUUCUGACAGAGGCUACAACUUCUGUACCAGAGAGUGCAAAAAGCAGGAGAAUAAUCACAGGUACUACUGAGGGCAUCUCUGGCAAAACCUCAGGACCUGGAAGUGCCACCACAGAGGCCACAUCUUCCCCAGAAAGGCCUGGUACGACUGGGACUGCACUGAAAACAGGUGAGAAUAUAUUAGUCUAUGAUUUGGGGUUAUCAUGCUGAGG